UGUCAAGUACUUAAUGUUAAUCAUGGUUACAUCAGGGUUGAUCAAACCGGCCUUGUUACAACAACCUGGGAUGGCAGUGAUGUAAACAGUUAUACAUCUUUUCAAUAGGACCCGGGUAUUCAAGGAUUAAAGGGAUAGCUGCCGAUAGAUAUAUCCACAUGGACGAAGCCGGCUCCGUCCGAGGUAUCCCAGCAUCACAGAUCCCGGAACCAUACGAUGCGUCAGAUAGUCGGGGUGCGUGGUACGAGUCGCCGGGCUGGUGCUACGAAUCACAGUGGAUCCAAUGGUAUCGCAAAGGAGGUGUCCGAAACCAGCUUAAAUGGUAUCUAGCGUUCAACUUACGAGGACGGCCGAUUCGCGUACAACGUACACACGCCGGAAUGUGCAACGCCAUGUUCACGAAGACUCUAUCAACGGGUGUAUCAUGUAAUCCGAACGACGGCGGUUACACGAAUAACUGACGAGGAUUGCGAUGACGACGACGAUGUUGGAAUUGGCUAUAGCAGCUCAUUAUAUGGAGGUUCGUUAUACCGAAUGUUCAUUAGUCCGGAAAAUUCGAUAUACCGAACGUUCGUUUGUCCAGUGGUUUUGUUAUUUCGAAAAUGACAGGUUGAUUGAGGGGAGAAGGGCGUUAAAUAAUGAAUUUUAAGCUGGUAAACAAUCACACCGAAGAUAACCAACACAGAUAUACACAAUUGACAUUGCUUGGAGAAAGACCUAUAGGCCCCGUCUUACAAAUCAAGAGUUACGAUUGAUCCAAUCAGUCGUAACUGUAUGGAAAUCCAUCGGUGUCAUAUUUUUUUUUCUACAGGAAAUUUGCAAAAUGUUAUGUGUUAACAAAGGAGAUCACCCCAAUUUACCAAGAAAUCAGUGAAUAUUUAUGGAUAUACAUUCAUAUCUAGAUUUUUU
Molecule: unclassified non-coding RNA, 909 nt
Filed under: Lytechinus variegatus (green sea urchin)
Lineage: Eukaryota; Metazoa; Echinodermata; Echinoidea; Temnopleuroida; Toxopneustidae
Description: uncharacterized LOC121413828, transcript variant X2
Source: RNAcentral